RNAcentral lists this ribosomal RNA (250 nucleotides) under uncultured bacterium. RNAcentral's name for it is "partial 16S ribosomal RNA". It matches the Rfam family "Bacterial small subunit ribosomal RNA", at positions 524 to 773 of the family's 1533-position model. The record is from RNAcentral.
UACGGAGGUGGCAAGCGUUGUUCGGAAUUACUGGGCGUAAAGGGCGCGUAGGCGGCGAGACAAGUCAGAUGUGAAAGCCCCGGGCUCAACCUGGGAAUUGCAUCUGAAACUGUAUUGCUUGAGUUCUGGAGGGGGUAGUGGAAUUCCCAGUGUAGCGGUGAAAUGCGUAGAUAUUGGGAGGAACACCUGCGGCGAAGGCGGCUACCUGGACAGUAACUGACGCUGAGGCGCGAAAGCUAGGGGAGCGAAC